AAACUCAAAGGAAUUGACGGGGACCCGCACAAGCGGUGGAUGAUGUGGAUUAAUUCGAUGCAACGCGAAAAACCUUACCUACCCUUGACAUGUCCAGAAGCCCGAAGAGAUUUGGGUGUGCCCGAAAGGGAGCUGGAACACAGGUGCUGCAUGGCUGUCGUCAGCUCGUGUCGUGAGAUGUUGGGUUAAGUCCCGCAACGAGCGCAACCCUUGUCGUUAAUUGCCAUCAUUCAGUUGGGCACUUUAACGAGACUGCCGGUGACAAACCGGAGGAAGGUGGGGAUGACGUCAAGUCCUCAUGGCCCUUAUGGGUAGGGCUUCACACGUCAUACAAUGGUCGGUACAGAGGGUUGCCAAGCCGCGAGGUGGAGCCAAUCCCAGAAAGCCGAUCGUAGUCCGGAUCGUAGGCUGCAACUCGCCUGCGUGAAGUCGGAAUCGCUAGUAAUCGCGGAUCAGCAUGUCGCGGUGAAUACGUUCCCGGGUCUUGUACACACCCCCCGUCACACCAUGGGAGCGGGUUCCGCCAGAAGUAGGUAGCCUAACCGCAAGGGGGGCGCUUACCACCGGCGGGGUUCGUGACUGGGGUGAAGUCGUAAACAAGGUAGCCGUAGGGGAACCUGCGGAUGGAUCACCUCCU
RNAcentral lists this ribosomal RNA (637 nucleotides) under uncultured Dechloromonas sp. RNAcentral describes it as "bacterial SSU rRNA". It matches the Rfam family "Bacterial small subunit ribosomal RNA", at positions 897 to 1531 of the family's 1533-position model. Lineage: Bacteria; Pseudomonadati; Pseudomonadota; Betaproteobacteria; Rhodocyclales; Azonexaceae. The record is from RNAcentral.